This 385-nucleotide long non-coding RNA is filed under the name Mytilus galloprovincialis (Mediterranean mussel). Lineage: Eukaryota; Metazoa; Mollusca; Bivalvia; Mytilida; Mytilidae. The record is from RNAcentral.
GUUUGGUAAAGCUGAAUGUAGAUAUAUUUGCUGCAACUCAUUUGAAGUCUUCUUCUCUAAUGAGAAAGAUAAAUAUGCUAGAUAUACUUACUGGAGGUGUGAUGAGAUGAUUGAAGCUGUUAAUUUUUCUCCUUGAUAAUAUUUAUGUACGUUUCGGCAACAAAGUUUAUCGACAGGUUGUAGGUAUCCCCAUGGGCACUAAUUGUGCCCCUUUAAUAGCAGACUUGUUUUUGUACUGUUACGAAUCACAGUUUAUGACUAAACUCAGUAAAGACCCGUCGAAAUUGCAUUUAAUUGAUAAAUUCAACAACACUUACCGUUAUCUUGAUGAUAUUUUUUCGUUAAAUAAUCAAGAAUUUUCUCAAUAUACUGCUGAAAUUUACCC